RNAcentral lists this ribosomal RNA (253 nucleotides) under uncultured bacterium. RNAcentral describes it as "partial 16S ribosomal RNA". It matches the Rfam family "Bacterial small subunit ribosomal RNA", at positions 524 to 776 of the family's 1533-position model. The record is from RNAcentral.
UACGUAGGGUGCAAGCGUUAAUCGGAAUUACUGGGCGUAAAGCGUGCGCAGGCGGUUGUGUAAGACAGAUGUGAAAUCCCCGGGCUCAACCUGGGAACUGUAUUUGUGACUGCACAGCUGGAGUGCGGCAGAGGGGGAUGGAAUUCCGCGUGUAGCAGUGAAAUGCGUAGAUAUGCGGAGGAACACCGAUGGCGAAGGCAAUCCCCUGGGCCUGCACUGACGCUCAUGCACGAAAGCGUGGGGAGCAAACAGG